Molecule: transfer RNA, 76 nt
Filed under: Dehalococcoidia bacterium
Lineage: Bacteria; Bacillati; Chloroflexota; Dehalococcoidia
Also listed under: 1 other name
Description: tRNA-Gly
Rfam family: tRNA
About the family: Transfer RNA (tRNA) molecules are approximately 80 nucleotides in length. Their secondary structure includes four short double-helical elements and three loops (D, anti-codon, and T loops).
Source: RNAcentral
GCGGGAGUAGCUCAGUUGGUAGAGCAUCUGCUUCCCAAGCAGAGGGUCGCGAGUUCGAGUCUCGUCUCCCGCUCCA